Molecule: long non-coding RNA, 243 nt
Organism: Hyposmocoma kahamanoa
Lineage: Eukaryota; Metazoa; Arthropoda; Insecta; Lepidoptera; Cosmopterigidae
Exons: 3
Source: RefSeq, a predicted model, not a curated record
GCCACCUUACUCCACACAUGGAUUGUAGUGGUAGUACGCAGAGAAAAACUUCCAAGAAAAUGCUCCAACUGACAACCAGCGCUGAGACUCUGCCCACUCUGCGCAGUAUUAAGCUGAGCUGGCUAAACUUUUCGGCUAUUAAGAUUAUAAUACUCUAUGCAGACAGCAAUACAGUUCAAUAUUACAUGAACAAAUAUUUCAACUCUCGUCUCGCCCAUCCUCGUCAAUCCAGACCAUCUCCAC